GAGUUUGAUCGUGGCUCAGAUUGAACGCUGGCGGCAUGCCUUACACAUGCAAGUCGAACGGCAGCAUGAUCUAGCUUGCUAGAUUGAUGGCGAGUGGCGAACGGGUGAGUAAUACGAUCGGAACGUGCCCUGUAGUGGGGGAUAACUAGUCGAAAGAUUAGCUAAUACCGCAUACGACCUGAGGGUGAAAGUGGGGGGACCGCAAGGCCUCAUGCUAUAGGAGCGGCCGAUGUCUGAUUAGCUAGUUGGUGGGUAAAGGCCCGACCAAGGCGACGAUCAGUAGCUGGUCUGAGAGGACGAUCAGCCACACUGGGACUGAGACACGGCCCAGACUCCUACGGGAGGCAGCAGUGGGGAAUUUUGGACAAUGGGCGAAAGCCUGAUCCAGCAAUGCCGCGUGUGUGAAGAAGGCCUGGUGUAAG
RNAcentral lists this ribosomal RNA (422 nucleotides) under uncultured microorganism. Its description in RNAcentral is "bacterial SSU rRNA". It matches the Rfam family "Bacterial small subunit ribosomal RNA", at positions 9 to 429 of the family's 1533-position model. The record is from RNAcentral.